CCUACGGUGGGCAGCAGUGGGGAAUAUUGGACAAUGGGCGAAAGCCUGAUCCAGCCAUGCCGCGUGUGUGAAGAAGGCCUUCGGGUUGUAAAGCACUUUCAGUGGGGAAGAAAGUCUUGGGGCUAAUACCCUCGAGGAAGGACAUCACCCACAGAAGAAGCACCGGCUAACUCCGUGCCAGCAGCCGCGGUAAUACGGAGGGUGCGAGCGUUAAUCGGAAUUACUGGGCGUAAAGCGCGCGUAGGCGGUCUGAUAAGCCGGUUGUGAAAGCCCCGGGCUCAACCUGGGAACGGCAUCCGGAACUGUCAGGCUAGAGUGCAGGAGAGGAAGGUAGAAUUCCCGGUGUAGCGGUGAAAUGCGUAGAGAUCGGGAGGAAUACCAGUGGCGAAGGCGGCCUUCUGGACUGACACUGACGCUGAGGUGCGAAAGCGUGGGUAGCAAACAGGAUUAGAUACCCGAGUAGUC
This 465-nucleotide ribosomal RNA is filed under the name Vreelandella stevensii. Its description in RNAcentral is "partial 16S ribosomal RNA". It matches the Rfam family "Bacterial small subunit ribosomal RNA", at positions 338 to 795 of the family's 1533-position model. The record is from RNAcentral. Lineage: Bacteria; Pseudomonadati; Pseudomonadota; Gammaproteobacteria; Oceanospirillales; Halomonadaceae.